UGAGCAGGUAGCUUUUAGCCACACCUUUUAUUUCCAGGCCUAUACCUGUGUGGCAAAGGCUUAAAUAGGAGGUAUUUCUGAAGGAAAAUUAACUCCAGUUUAUUUAAAUAUACCAUGCUUCGUGUAUAUAUGUCCUCUCCUUCCAAACUGGAAUUUCCAGUUAAAUUCAAGGAAUAAUUAUCAAGUAAAUACAACAUGACAAGAGCAAGGCUAAGUACAGGACAGUUCCUGCCUUAAGGAAUCUAAGGUGAAAGGAUAAGUCUAAUGGAAGCGCAUUCCAGUUUGCUGAUGAGCACAAAAGCCAUAGCAGCUAAGUGCCAUGGGUUCCAGAGAAGGAAAGUGUCUCCGUGCAGGCUGGCUUCAUAAAGGCUUCUGAGAUAGGCCUAAAGGAUAGAUCAGAUUUCAGGAAGUAAGCACAAGACAGGAAUAAGCAAGAAAUAAUGAUGACACACAAGGAAUGGAGAGGAAAGAAUGCCAUCAGAAGAAUAUCUUCAGAGAAUUGCACAAUAAACAAAGAGUAAUGUUAUGAAGAAGACUUGAGCAGGCAGUCCAGAGCUGAUACAGCUGCUCCAAUCACCAGAGAUGCAAUCUCCUGCUAGAUGUCUUCACAUCUACCUUUCUAUGUCACAUGUGCAAGAUGGUUGCUCUGCCUUCAGACAUCACAUCUACAUUCCAGGCAGAAAGGAGAAGGAAAGAGCAAAAGAUGUGUUCUGAACAAAUCCAUCUUAAAAACAAACAAGGGGAGGGGUAGCAGGAGAAAAUUUAAAAAAAAGAAGAAGAAAAACAAAAACAGGAAAGCCGUUGUUUCCCUAAAAGCCCCAUCAAGCCGACUUCUACUGGUGACUCAUUACCCAGUCAUGUGGCCACCCCUGGAUUCAAGGCAGUCUGAGGAGGUGAGUGUUUCAAAGAGGCACAUGGAUGCCACAGACAAAAUCAAGUUUCCAUGGUUGAAGGAGAAGAGGACGAUGGAGUUUGGGGAGGCAGCAGGCUACGUCUGCCACAGAAGAUAUAAAGAUAUGGAGCCACACGAGAAGAUGGGGGAGGCUGCCAAAAAAGUCCACUGGGUACAGGUGAGGAGCAGGUGACAUUGGAGUUGCUCCAUCUGAGGAGCCCGCACCUGCAAUGGCUUGUGCUCCUGCUCCUGUGGGUGUAGGCACAAGGCUGAUGCCGAGAGAGUGAGUUGUUUCUGUUGGGGUUCAGAACACAAUACCCCAAAGUAUGGCGAUGAGUACUUAACUAAAGGACAUUGGAAGGCCUCAGAAGCAGCCUCAGAUCCAAGGUCCCUCUGACCUGCUCCUGCCCUCCUGUCUCUCUCGUCCCUCGUGCUCCCCUGAAGUGAGUCAUAGAAACCAGAAUCCUCUUCCCCACGGUAGGUCCUAGAAACUAGAACCCUUUUUCCCCGAAGCAAAAGCCAUAAAAACUGGAAUUAUUACUCUAAACUCUCCUUGACUUUUUGUCCA
This is a long non-coding RNA of Homo sapiens (human), 1460 nucleotides long. RefSeq annotates it as long independently transcribed non-coding RNA 243. Lineage: Eukaryota; Metazoa; Chordata; Mammalia; Primates; Hominidae. The record is from RefSeq and is marked validated. The transcript is spliced from 2 exons.